GAUUUCUGACGAACCGGAGUGGCCCGUUUUCAUUCUGGAAAUGAGUGCCGCUUUGAGUUUGUCAUCCUUCCAGAGAGCUGCGUCUACCGUUUAUUCGGCCGGAUGUAUGCGAUCUGGAUCUAUUACUUUGAAAAAAUUAGAGUGUUUAAAGCAGGCUUAUGCUGUGAAUACAUUAGCAUGGAAUAAUAAUUUAGGACUUUGGUUCUAUUUUGUUGGUUUCUAGGACUGAAGUAAUGAUUGAUAGGGAUAGUUGGGGGUGCUAGUAUUCAGAGGCCAGAGGUGAAAUUCUUGGAUUCUCUGAAGACUAACUUAUGCGAAAGCAUU
Molecule: ribosomal RNA, 324 nt
Filed under: uncultured Euglypha
Lineage: Eukaryota; Cercozoa; Imbricatea; Euglyphida; Euglyphidae
Description: SSU rRNA
Rfam family: Eukaryotic small subunit ribosomal RNA (bases 62-324)
Source: RNAcentral